UACAGCGGGAAGCCAUAUGGCGACAUAGAGCGGAACCCGAAAACCUGUCUCAGUUCGGAUUGGAGUCUGCAACCCGACUCCAUGAAGCUGGAUUCGCUAGUAAUCGCGCAUCAGCCACGGCGCGGUGAAUACGUUCCCGGGCCUUGUACACACCGCCCGUCAAGCCAUGGAAGCCGGGAGUGCCUGAAGUGCGUGAGCGCAAGCAGCGCCCUAAGGUAAAACCGGUGACUGGGGCUAAGUCGUAACAAGGUACC
This 254-nucleotide ribosomal RNA is filed under the name uncultured bacterium. RNAcentral describes it as "partial 16S ribosomal RNA". It matches the Rfam family "Bacterial small subunit ribosomal RNA", at positions 1238 to 1500 of the family's 1533-position model. The record is from RNAcentral.